GCCAGCCCGCUCAGAACUCAAAGGAAUUGACGGGGCCGCACAAGCGGAGGAGCAUGUGGUUUAAUUCGAUGAUACGCGAGGAACCUUACCUGGGCUCGAACGUAAGAUGACUGUAGGUGAAAGCUUACAUCUCUUCGGAGCAUUUUACGAGGUGCUGCAUGGUUGUCGUCAGCUCGUGCCGUGAGGUGUCGGGUUAAGUCCCAUAACGAGCGCAACCCCUACCUUUAGUUGCCAUCAGGUAAUGCUGGGGACUCUAAAGGAACUGCCUACGCAAGUAGUGAGGAAGGCGGGGAUGACGUCAAAUCAGCACGGCCCUUACGUCCAGGGCUACACACGUGCUACAAUGGCCGAUACAGAGGGCAGCUACCUGGUGACAGGAUGCAAAUCUCCAAAGUCGGUCUCAGUUCGGAUCGGAGUCUGCAACCCGACUCCGUGAAGUUGGAUUCGCUAGUAAUCGCGCAUCAGCCAUGGCGCGGUGAAUACGUUCCCGGGCCUU
RNAcentral lists this ribosomal RNA (496 nucleotides) under uncultured Sphingobacteriales bacterium. Its description in RNAcentral is "bacterial SSU rRNA". It matches the Rfam family "Bacterial small subunit ribosomal RNA", at positions 882 to 1382 of the family's 1533-position model. The record is from RNAcentral. Lineage: Bacteria; Pseudomonadati; Bacteroidota; Sphingobacteriia; Sphingobacteriales.